CUCCAUCCCAUCUUCCAUGAUUAGUUCGUUUCUAAACUAUUCCUUCCUUAUUUUGUUUUAGUGAAGAAAACCUGGUUCCGGUAACCGUAACUGAAACCGAACACCAUACCGACACCACUUUUCAUUCACCACUAUGCCUACUAAACCACUCAACUAUCUCUACUAAACCACUCGAAGCUUUAACCACGGAAAACAUACUACCCGAAACCAUUUCCGGUGAAGAAAUACUAAUUCCGGCGAUACUUACAUACUUUCCGACGACGUCUUUCGUAACCGAAACGUGUUUUUGACCAAGCACUUUGACUCUCCACUGGGAUUUCUGCAAAUUUUCAACCAGACAGAUUCAAUCAGCAUUUUUGUUCAUCAUAUCCUGGUUUAUUCAAACACGCUUGACAAGUUUAUAUAUAUUUAAGACAACAAUCAAGAAACAAGG
Molecule: long non-coding RNA, 433 nt
Organism: Helianthus annuus (common sunflower)
Lineage: Eukaryota; Viridiplantae; Streptophyta; Magnoliopsida; Asterales; Asteraceae
Exons: 3
Source: RefSeq, a predicted model, not a curated record